AAACUGGAGAGUUUGAUCCUGGCUCAGAACGAACGCUGGCGGCGUGCUUAACACAUGCAAGUCGAACGCGAAAGGGAUUUCGGUCCUGAGUAGAGUGGCGCACGGGUGAGUAAC
RNAcentral lists this ribosomal RNA (114 nucleotides) under Desulforhopalus sp. IMCC35007. RNAcentral describes it as "Bacterial small subunit ribosomal RNA". It matches the Rfam family "Bacterial small subunit ribosomal RNA", at positions 1 to 114 of the family's 1533-position model. Lineage: Bacteria; Pseudomonadati; Thermodesulfobacteriota; Desulfobulbia; Desulfobulbales; Desulfocapsaceae. The record is from Rfam by way of RNAcentral.